UACGAGGGGUGCAAGCGUUAUUCGGAAUCAUUGGGCGUAAAGGGUGCGUAGACGGCUUGUUAAGUCAACUGUUAAAUUCUCCGGCCUAACUGGAGACCAGCAGUAGAAACUGAUAGGCUUGAGGUUGGAAGAGAGAAGUGGAAUUCUCGGAGUAGCGGUAAAAUGCGUAGAUCUCGAGAGGAACACCGAUGGCGAAGGCAGCUUCUUGGUCCAAAUCUGACGUUGAGGCACGAAAGCGUGGGGAGCAAACAGG
RNAcentral lists this ribosomal RNA (253 nucleotides) under uncultured bacterium. Its description in RNAcentral is "partial 16S ribosomal RNA". It matches the Rfam family "Bacterial small subunit ribosomal RNA", at positions 524 to 776 of the family's 1533-position model. The record is from RNAcentral.